Molecule: ribosomal RNA, 253 nt
Filed under: uncultured bacterium
Lineage: Bacteria
Description: partial 16S ribosomal RNA
Rfam family: Bacterial small subunit ribosomal RNA
Source: RNAcentral
UACAGAGGUCUCAAGCGUUGUUCGGAUUCAUUGGGCGUAAAGGGUGCGUAGGCGGUGGGGCAAGUCAGGUGUGAAAUCCCGGAGCUCAACUCCGGAACUGCACUUGAUACUGCCUUGCUAGAGUACUGGAGAGGAGACUGGAAUUUACGGUGUAGCAGUGAAAUGCGUAGAGAUCGUAAGGAAGACCAGUGGCGAAGGCGGGUCUCUGGACAGUUCCUGACACUGAGACACGAAGGCCAGGGGAGCAAACGGG